Molecule: ribosomal RNA, 320 nt
Filed under: uncultured eukaryote
Lineage: Eukaryota
Description: partial 18S ribosomal RNA
Rfam family: Eukaryotic small subunit ribosomal RNA
Source: RNAcentral
CCCCUAGAUGUUCUGGGCCGCACGCGCGCUACACUGAACAGUUCAACAAGUCUUAACCUUGGCCGAUAGGUCUGGGUAAUCUUUGAACGCUGUUCGUGAUUGGGAUAGACCUUUGCAAUUAUGGGUCUUCAACGAGGAAUUCCUAGUAAACGCAAGUCAUCAGCUUGCAUUGAUUACGUCCCUGCCCUUUGUACACACCGCCCGUCGCACCUACCGAUUGAAUGGUCCGGUGAAAUCUCGGGACGGCGGCUUGGUCGCUUGCGUCCGACUGCUGAAACUUGAUUAAACCAUNUNAUUUAANGGAAGGUGAANUCGUANCA